This 502-nucleotide ribosomal RNA is filed under the name uncultured bacterium. RNAcentral describes it as "partial 16S ribosomal RNA". It matches the Rfam family "Bacterial small subunit ribosomal RNA", at positions 30 to 523 of the family's 1533-position model. The record is from RNAcentral.
AUUGAACGCUGGCGGCGUGCCUAACACAUGCAAGUCGAGCGGUAACAGGUGUAGCAAUACAUGCUGACGAGCGGCGAACGGGUGAGUAAUGCUUCGGAAUCUACCUUAUGGUGGGGAAUAACUAGCCGAAAGGUUAGCUAAUACCGCAUACGUCCUACGGGAGAAAGCAGGGGAUCGCAAGACCUUGCGCCAAAAGAUGAGCCGAAGUCGGAUUAGCUAGUUGGUAGGGUAACGGCCUACCAAGGCGACGAUCCGUAGCUGGUCUGAGAGGACGACCAGCCACACUGGGACUGAGACACGGCCCAGACUCCUACGGGAGGCAGCAGUGGGGAAUAUUGGACAAUGGGGGAAACCCUGAUCCAGCGACGCCGCGUGUGUGAAGAAGGCCUGCGGGUUGUAAAGCACUUUUAGUGGGGAUGAGAUGUGCAGGGUUAAUACCUCUGCAUUUUGACCUAACCCACAGAAAAGGCACCGGCUAACUCUGUGCCAGCCGCCGCCGUAA